GAAAGUAAAGAAGGGCGCAUGGCGGAUGCCUUGGCUCUCGGAGGCGAUGAAGGACGUGAUAAGCUGCGAUAAGCUUUGGGGAGGUGCAAAUGACCUUUGAUCCAGAGAUUUCCGAAUGGGACAACCCAAUAUCUUGAAGAGGUAUUAUCCAACGUUGUUGGAGGCUAACGCAGGGAACUGAAACAUCUUAGUACCUGCAGGAAAAGAAAAUAAACAAUGAUUCCCCCAGUAGUGGCGAGCGAACGGGGAACAGCCCAAACCAUCCAUGUUACGGCAUGGGUGGGGUUGUAGGACUACGCCGUUGCAUGAAGACAUCAGAGAAGAACUUUCUGGAAAGAAAGACCAUAGAGCAUGACAGUUGCGUAUUCGAAUGUUGUCGAAGCAUAGUAGUAUCCUGAGUAGCGCGGAGCACGAGGAAUUCUGCGUGAAUCUGCCGGGACCAUCCGGUAAGGCUAAAUACUCCCGAGAGACCGAUAGCGAACCAGUACUGUGAAGGAAAGGUGAAAAGCACUUCGAAUAGAAGAGUGAAAUAGUCCCUGAAACCAUGCGCCUACAAGCGGUCGGAGCAGCUUAAGCUGUGACGGCGUGCCUUUUGCAUAAUGAACCUACGAGUUACUUUUUCCGGCAAGGUUAAGGAUCUUGAGAUCCGCAGCCGAAGCGAAAGCGAGUCUUAACAGGGCGAUUAGUCGGAAGGAGUAGACGCGAAACCAAGUGAUCUACCCUUGGUCAGGUUGAAGGUUAGGUAACACUAACUGGAGGACCGAACCGAUAAGCGUUGAAAAGCUUCCGGAUGAGCUGAGGGUGGGGGUGAAAGGCUAAUCAAACUUGGAGAUAGCUCGUACUCCCCGAAAUGCAUUUAGGUGCAGCCUUGCGGGUUACUGAUGUGAGGUAGAGCGACUGAUAAGAUGCGAGGGCUUCACCGCCUAUCAAGUCUUGACAAACUCCGAAUGCGCAUCAGUUCUACCGCAGGAGUGAGGGCAUGGGUGCUAAGGUCCGUGCCCGAGAGGAGAAGAAUCCGGACCACCUGCUAAGGUCCCGAAAUGACAGCUAAGUUAAACUAACGAAGUCUGACUGCUAAGACAGCUAGGAUGUUGGCUUGGAAGCAGCCAUUCAUUUAAAGAGUGCGUAACAGCUCACUAGUCGAGGAGUCCGGCGUGGAUAAUACUCGGGCAUAAACUGUUUACCGAAGCUAUGGAUGUAGAAAUACAUGGUAGGGGAGCAUUCCAACGGCGUCGAAGGUGAAGGAUGACCUUUGCUGGAGCUUUUGGAAACGCAAAUGUAGGUAUAAGUAACGAUAAAGGAGGUGAGAAACCUCCUCGCCGAAAGACUAAGGUUUCCUGAUCAACGUUAAUCGGAUCAGGGUAAGUCGGGACCUAAGGUUAAGCCGAACGGCGAUACCGAUGGAAGAAUGGUUUAAUAUUCCCAUACUACUUUAUGGAGCGAUGUGGAGACGGAGAAGUGAAAGUCCUGCCAUCUGACGGAAUAGGUGGUUGAAGAGUGUAGAUGUAGAUUCCUGUAGGCAAAUCCGCAGGGAGAGUCGACCUUGAUAGUAUGCCGCGUGCUUGCACAAGGCAAAAUGGACGUAAUCAGGCUCCCAAGAAAAUCCGCUAAGCAUAUUCAUAAAGUACCCGUACCGUAAACGGACACACGUAGUUGGGUUGAAAAUACUGAGGCGCUCGAGUGAUUCACGGUUAAGGAACUAGGCAAAUUGACCCUGUAACUUCGGGAUAAAGGGUCCCAACGAGAGUUGGGCGCAGAGAAUAGGUCCAGGCAACUGUUUAACAAAAACACAGGGCUGUGCCAAAUUGAAAGAUUACGUAUACAGCCUGACACCUGCCCGGUGCUGGAAGGUUAAGAGGAGAUGUCAUCGCAAGAGAAGCAUUGAAUUGAAGCCCCAGUAAACGGCGGCCGUAACUAUAACGGUCCUAAGGUAGCGAAAUUCCUUGUCGGGUAAGUUCCGACCUGCACGAAUGG
RNAcentral lists this ribosomal RNA (1974 nucleotides) under human gut metagenome. Its description in RNAcentral is "bacterial LSU rRNA". It matches the Rfam family "Bacterial large subunit ribosomal RNA", at positions 1 to 1999 of the family's 2925-position model. The record is from RNAcentral.